Molecule: ribosomal RNA, 328 nt
Filed under: uncultured eukaryote
Lineage: Eukaryota
Description: partial 18S ribosomal RNA
Rfam family: Eukaryotic small subunit ribosomal RNA
Source: RNAcentral
CCCUUAGAUGUCCUGGGCCGCACGCGCGUUACACUGAUGCAUUCAACGAGCUUAUAACCUUGGCCGAGAGGCCCGGGCAAUCUUGUUAACGUGCAUCGUGAUAGGGAUAGAUUAUUGAAAUUAUUAAUCUUGAACGAGGAAUUCCUAGUAAACGCAGAUCAUCAAUCUGCAUUGAUUACGUCCCUGCCCUUUGUACACACCGCCCGUCGCUCCUACCGAUUGAGUGGUCCGGUGAGGCUUUGGGAUCUGAGCGGAAAGAGCGUUUCGCUGUUUCUGCUCGGAAAACUCAGUCGAACCUUAUCAUUUAGAGGAAGGAGAAGUCGUAACA